GUUCAUUCUCGCUUGGCAAAUAUUUAUGUGCGAUUUCCCCUCUCCUUUUGGCCUUCCUUCGCGGCCUCUCUUGCCUCCCUCUGCUCCACCGCGUGGUCUGGGGACAUUCUUCAGGACCUCACCUCCCUGCAGGACAGGCCUUCCUGAAGCUCUCGAUGGGUGGGGGCCCGCUUCAGAGAGAGGCCGGACAGACCACGGCUGCCCACAGGACAGUGAGACCGAGGAAGCGUGCACAAUUCAUGAGCGGGUAUUGGGUGGAUAAGGAGACACCCGUCAGAGGCUCUGGGUUCUUCUAUCAGCGUGGGCAGUCUGCCCACCCCUCUCAUAUUCCGGAGGGGAGCACUAGCCACUCUCGCCGGACGGCGCCUCAUUCCGGGGCUUCGGAUGUGGGAGGGAGAGGACGAGGCCAAGGCCGUGCCAGCGGAUCUGGGGAGCUGGGGCUCCCCAGGAAUCUGGUCUCAUAGGAGAGUUUACCCAGCGGCAGCCACAAGCCCUCUGUUGUCAGAAACCAUGGCCCAGGGAGGGGAGCCAGGCCAAGGAAGGCCCAGUAAUUCUCACUCUAAGCAAAGUAUGUCAACCCUGCUCUUUCCUUGUGACCCCGUAAUCCGAUUGUAGACGCACCGGAGAAACGGACUCCUUUGAGCAAUACGUAUACAAGAGGGGGGUUCAGGUACUCCUUUGGAGCGUGGAAAAUUGGAGUCAGGAAGCCAAAAUGGGAGCACUGUGCCCUCGUCUUGUUCUGUGACUUGGGGGCAGCGAGCCUCCUGUCUCUAAACCUCCGUUUCCCAGUCUGAACAGUGGGGGAGAAAGUAACGUAACCCGUGGGUAACUGUGUUCCACGUGGUCCAGUCUUGGCUUGGCGACACAUGGAAAGAAUCACAGACUCGCAACCAGGGCGUAAUACAAAGAACUUUAAAUCUUUGCUUUGGCCUUUCUAGGAGAUCCCAAAGUGGGCAGCAGGACUGGGGCCGGAGAGAAGUUUAUUCCCAAUUCAUAGCGAUCCUGAGAAGCCCCCCACCCCCACGGUGUCUCAGUAUUCUCCACACACACAGCAGUGGUUUCUUCCCCCACUACUCCCGUCCAGACUCCCCCAGACACAGAGCCCAAGCCGCCUAUCAGCAUUUCUCCACCUGGAUUCUAACAUGUUGAUCCAAUAAGUUUCUCCCUUAGGCUUCUUCUCACACGGGGGAGGGUGGGAAGCUGACUGGACCCUCAGAGAAACCCAGGGACCUGGGGGAAGACAAGGAGGGCCCCACAUUCAUGCUGACUUGUCCCUGCUCCUUGUCACAGGCCACGGCGCUAGAGCUGAUAUCUAUGGCGUGGGUACCAGGCACCGUGCAAAUCGAACUCACAACGGCCCUGGGGGGGGGGGGGUGGACUGUGAAGGCCCCCCGGGGCACAACUGAGGAGUCCGAGACCCUGGGAGGUCACCUUGUCCAAGACCUCACCACUGUAGGUUAGAAG
Molecule: long non-coding RNA, 1464 nt
Filed under: Felis catus (domestic cat)
Lineage: Eukaryota; Metazoa; Chordata; Mammalia; Carnivora; Felidae
Description: lncRNA (ENSFCAG00000051340.1)
Source: RNAcentral